This 323-nucleotide long non-coding RNA is filed under the name Phoenix dactylifera (date palm). RNAcentral's name for it is "long non-coding RNA (PDAC_LNC021475)". The record is from RNAcentral. Lineage: Eukaryota; Viridiplantae; Streptophyta; Magnoliopsida; Arecales; Arecaceae.
UUUAGUAUCAAAGCUAGAAUAAUUGAGGGUGAGGUGGUAUGGAAACAAUUGAGAUAGGUAAGUUUGAUGAAAUUGUGAGAAGGGGUAUUCAAACAAAAAUUUAUUAAUGGUUAGGUAAUUCUAUAUAUACUCCCUUUGUGUUUUGCAUUUUACUGCCCUCGUUUCUGCUGACAGUGUCUCAUACUGAAGAUGGAUGACCUGUAGUCUUUACAUAAUUUCCAUGUUUAUGAAUCCCAGUGUAAAGUUAAAGUGAGUAGAAAAUAUAUCAAAGAUUGAUUUAUGUUUAGCCAGUGAAGUAACUUUCUUUAAUUUAAGUCCCUCUG